AAUGAGUUUAUAAACAAGUCUUCUAAAUUUGUUCUAGGUUAAUCACCUACUCAUUU
RNAcentral lists this transfer RNA (56 nucleotides) under Cruznema tripartitum. RNAcentral describes it as "tRNA-Ser". The record is from RNAcentral. Lineage: Eukaryota; Metazoa; Nematoda; Chromadorea; Rhabditida; Rhabditidae.